AGAAGCCAUUUCAGGCUAUCAAUCAAGAUAGACAAGCAAGCUACUCUUAGCUGGCAUGCCUGUUGGCAAGUUGGGAGACUUUAGAAAAGCAACAUUCCACAUUCUCCAACUUCAGGCCAGGGGCCUAAGCUCCCUAUGGACCACCCCCCCAGCCAUCCUUACAUACUUUGUGCCCCUCAGAUUUUUUUGUGCCCAUACUUUGUGCCCCUCAGAUUUUGCAAUCAGCCCCUGUUGGGGCUGAUUGCACAGAAGGACAUUGGAGGAAAGCACACUAAUAUGGACUAUCACAAGUCGGAUUUGUAACCCACAAAUGUACAGGCCUGCUUGCCAGAAUGUCUCAUAAGGUAUGAAAAGCCUCUCACGUGCAAGAAAGAGAGAGAAAGGUCACAGCUCUGUGGCGAAGAAACAAUUGCGAGGUGGUGGUUGCUGAUGUGAGGUCUACAGACAAAAAAUCCUCUUUCCUUCUCCAACAUUCAGAGUUUAAAACUCUGCAGCCCCACAAAUGGCUUGUGGAUGAGACAAUCGAAUGGUACUUUCAAGCCACCACAAAAAGCUGUGGUCACGGUACAAAGAGUUACACCCUAAAUCAUUACUCAGCCCAAGUCAUUCUAAAUGGAGAAAGAAGUUCAGUGUGCAAGCAAAGUCUGCCCAAGUAUUUGCAUGAACCAUCAGGCCAAGUGUUCUUGGUUGACCCUGCUGGACAGAAAGAGAACGAGGAAUCGGAACACGCUGCAUUAAAAUUCAGAGAAUACUUCAAAAUGAGAAGAUCCUGCCAUGGAAAAGACGACUUGGUGGACAUAAAGUGGAAAGGAGGGGAAAUAACUCACAACAUGCAGGAGGACACCUUCAACUGCGGGGUCUUUGUAAUGCAGUUGUGUGGGACAGCCAUAUGUUCAGUUCAUGCCUGUGAUGUCAGAGUUCAACAAAGCCAACAACUGCUUCAUGUGUGCCACUGAUAAAGAACCUGGAUGUGGCCCAAAGACUGGAUAGAAUAUUUUGCAUGCCAACGGUGGGUCCAUGUGCUGUGCCUAGGAAUGAAGACAAAAGAGUUCAACAGAGUAAAGAACACAAACUGGAAGUGCAGUCUUUGUUGUUGAAAAUCCACACUGAAGAGGCUCUGAAAUGUACAUCAACCAGGGAUAAAGAGAAAGUUAACACUGAAAUGUUUUGUACUUUGAAGAAAAGUGUCUGACAUGUUGGAAAAGAUUAAAGGUCUACAAUUUCCGUUUAAUUUGCCAAAAUAAAAAUUUUAUUCAUUGAUUUACUGGCCACCAUUACUGUGGUU
Oncorhynchus mykiss (rainbow trout) is the source of this 1285-nucleotide long non-coding RNA. RefSeq lists it as uncharacterized. The record is from RefSeq and is a predicted model, not a curated record. Lineage: Eukaryota; Metazoa; Chordata; Actinopteri; Salmoniformes; Salmonidae.